Molecule: long non-coding RNA, 473 nt
Organism: Passer domesticus (house sparrow)
Lineage: Eukaryota; Metazoa; Chordata; Aves; Passeriformes; Passeridae
Exons: 3
Source: RefSeq, a predicted model, not a curated record
UUUUUUCCCUGCAGAAUUAUUGCCAUAAUCUUUUGCUUCCAGAGAAUCUUUUCCAUGUCUUUAGGAAACUUCUCUCUGCUAGGCUCCCAGAUCAGGCCAAUUCCCAGGUUCCUUCCCAAACUGAGGUGUAGCCCAUGGUUUCCACUCUCCAGCUGGAACAGAAGAAAGCAGAGAGUUUGCUGUUGUGGGAGAGCAGCUUCUCUUUCCUGCCUGCUUUCCCUUUGGGACAGAGCUUUUUGAGAAAAUUGACUGAUGUAGCUUCUGCUGGUGGUGGUGCUUUUGUCUGCAGGAGUUCCUCAGUGCCCAGCAGGAAUGAAAGGACCUGUGAUGAUGUGAUUUGAGAGCUCUGUUGUUCCUUGCCACAUGAGUGUUCAUGACAAGCUGGACACCCCACUUGUGGCUCUGUUGAGUUAAAUUCAUCCCAAUUCUGUGCAAACAGCAGCCCCGAGGUGCUGAGGAGAGCAAGGACAGUG